This 521-nucleotide ribosomal RNA is filed under the name Stereocyclops incrassatus (Brazilian dumpy frog). RNAcentral's name for it is "partial large subunit ribosomal RNA". It matches the Rfam family "Bacterial large subunit ribosomal RNA", at positions 1818 to 2567 of the family's 2925-position model. Lineage: Eukaryota; Metazoa; Chordata; Amphibia; Anura; Microhylidae. The record is from RNAcentral.
GCCUCCUGCAUAAAUAUAGGAGGUCCAGCCUGCCCAGUGACCAAGUUAAACGGCCGCGGUACCCUAACCGUGCGAAGGUAGCGCAAUCACUUGUUCUUUAAAUGAGGACUAGUAUGAAUGGCAUCACGAGGGUUACACUGUCUCCCUUUUCCAGUCAGUGAAACUGAUCUCCCCGUGAAGAAGCGGGGAUAAAAAUAUAAGACGAGAAGACCCCAUGGAGCUUUAAACUCAAUAUCAACUGCCACCACACACACCACAUUAAAUAGGCAGAUCUGAUUAUUAGUUUUCGGUUGGGGUGACCGCGGAGCAAAAUAAAACCUCCACAAUGAAUGAUUUGCCUCUAAUCUAAGAGCUACAACUCCAAGAAUCAAUAAAUUGACAUAAAUUGAUCCAAAUAAUUUGAUCAACGAACCAAGUUACCCUGGGGAUAACAGCGCAAUCCACUUCAAGAGCUCCUAUCGACAAGUGGGUUUACGACCUCGAUGUUGGAUCAGGGUAUCCCAGUGGUGCAGCCGCUACUA